This 253-nucleotide ribosomal RNA is filed under the name uncultured bacterium. Its description in RNAcentral is "partial 16S ribosomal RNA". It matches the Rfam family "Bacterial small subunit ribosomal RNA", at positions 524 to 776 of the family's 1533-position model. The record is from RNAcentral.
UACGGGGGGGGCAAGCGUUGUUCGGAAUUACUGGGCGUAAAGGGCUCGUAGGCGGCCAACUAAGUCGGACGUGAAAUCCCUCAGCUUAACUGGGGAAUGGCGUCCGAUACUGGAUGGCUUGAGUUCGGGAGAGGGAUGCGGAAUUCCAGGUGUAGCGGUGAAAUGCGUAGAUAUCUGGAGGAACACCGGUGGCGAAGGCGGCAUCCUGGACCGGCACUGACGCUGAGGAGCGAAAGCCAGGGGAGCAAACGGG